ACGUUAUCCCGCUACUGGCGGAUUUGUGGGCCUAAACCACAAGGGACCGGGAUAAUUUCAAGCCGACCGCCUGGGCAGAAGUU
Molecule: non-coding RNA, 83 nt
Filed under: Elusimicrobiota bacterium
Lineage: Bacteria; Pseudomonadati; Elusimicrobiota
Description: Elusimicrobia bacterium ZTP sequence
Rfam family: ZMP/ZTP riboswitch aptamer (pfl RNA motif)
About the family: Previously known as pfl RNA. ZMP is also known as AICAR.
Source: RNAcentral